Molecule: ribosomal RNA, 253 nt
Filed under: uncultured bacterium
Lineage: Bacteria
Description: partial 16S ribosomal RNA
Rfam family: Bacterial small subunit ribosomal RNA
Source: RNAcentral
UACAGAGACCUCGAGCAUUAUCCGGAAUUAUUGGGCGUAAAGGGUCCGUAGGCGGCUUUCUAAGUCAUGCGUCAAAUCUUUGGGCUCAACCCAGAGGCUGCGUGUGAUACUGGAAGGCUUGAGAUCGGGAGAGGCACAUGGAAUUACUGGUGUAGCGGUAAAAUGCGUUAAUAUCAGUAAGAACACCAAAGGCGAAGGCAGUGUGCUAGAACGAUUCUGACGCUGAGGGACGAAAGCGUGGGUAGCGAAUGGG